RNAcentral lists this ribosomal RNA (253 nucleotides) under uncultured bacterium. RNAcentral describes it as "partial 16S ribosomal RNA". It matches the Rfam family "Bacterial small subunit ribosomal RNA", at positions 524 to 776 of the family's 1533-position model. The record is from RNAcentral.
GACGUAGGGUGCAAGCGUUGUCCGGAAUUAUUGGGCGUAAAGAGCUCGUAGGCGGUCUGUCGAGUCUGCUGUGAAAAUCCAGGGCUCAACCCUGGACCUGCAGUGGGUACGGGCAGACUAGAGUGCGGUAGGGGAGAUCGGAAUUCCUGGUGUAGCGGUGAAAUGCGCAGAUAUCAGGAGGAACACCGGUGGCGAAGGCGGAUCUCUGGGCCGUAACUGACGCUGAGGAGCGAAAGCAUGGGGAGCGAACAGG